AUGGGUUUGGUUCCUUCCUUGCUACAGGCGGUGUUGUGCGCGGCGGUGGCGCUGGCGCUGUGCGCGAGCGGCAUUGGCGCGUCGCCUGCGGCGAGGGGCGCGGGGUGCCGGAAGCACGUGCGGAGGGUCACGGAGUACGGGGCGGUGGGGGACGGCAAGACGCUCAAUGCGGUGGCGUUCGCCAGGGCGGUGGCGGACCUGGGGAGGCGCGCGGGCCACCGCGGCGGGGCGCUGGUGGUGCCGGCGGGGCGGUGGCUCACGGGCCCCUUCAACCUCACCAGCCACUUCACCCUCUUCCUCCACCGCGGCGCCGAGAUCCUCUUCUUCAGUUACCCGUGGGAUUAA
This 345-nucleotide ribosomal RNA is filed under the name Triticum aestivum (bread wheat). Its description in RNAcentral is "partial small subunit ribosomal RNA". The record is from RNAcentral. Lineage: Eukaryota; Viridiplantae; Streptophyta; Magnoliopsida; Poales; Poaceae.